Molecule: ribosomal RNA, 1297 nt
Filed under: Salmonella enterica
Lineage: Bacteria; Pseudomonadati; Pseudomonadota; Gammaproteobacteria; Enterobacterales; Enterobacteriaceae
Description: bacterial SSU rRNA
Source: RNAcentral
AAAUUGAAGAGUUUGAUCAUGGCUCAGAUUGAACGCUGGCGGCAGGCCUAACACAUGCAAGUCGAACGGUAGCACAGAGAGCUUGCUCUCGGGUGACGAGUGGCGGACGGGUGAGUAAUGUCUGGGAAACUGCCUGAUGGAGGGGGAUAACUACUGGAAACGGUGGCUAAUACCGCAUAACGUCGCAAGACCAAAGAGGGGGACCUUCGGGCCUCUUGCCAUCAGAUGUGCCCAGAUGGGAUUAGCUUGUUGGUGAGGUAACGGCUCACCAAGGCGACGAUCCCUAGCUGGUCUGAGAGGAUGACCAGCCACACUGGAACUGAGACACGGUCCAGACUCCUAGUCUGUCAAGUCGGAUGUGAAAUCCCCGGGCUCAACCUGGGAACUGCAUUCGAAACUGGCAGGCUUGAGUCUUGUAGAGGGGGGUAGAAUUCCAGGUGUAGCGGUGAAAUGCGUAGAGAUCUGGAGGAAUACCGGUGGCGAAGGCGGCCCCCUGGACAAAGACUGACGCUCAGGUGCGAAAGCGUGGGGAGCAAACAGGAUUAGAUACCCUGGUAGUCCACGCCGUAAACGAUGUCUACUUGGAGGUUGUGCCCUUGAGGCGUGGCUUCCGGAGCUAACGCGUUAAGUAGACCGCCUGGGGAGUACGGCCGCAAGGUUAAAACUCAAAUGAAUUGACGGGGGCCCGCACAAGCGGUGGAGCAUGUGGUUUAAUUCGAUGCAACGCGAAGAACCUUACCUGGUCUUGACAUCCACAGAASUUUYCAGAGAUGGAYUGGUGCCUUCGGGAACUGUGAGACAGGUGCUGCAUGGCUGUCGUCAGCUCGUGUUGUGAAAUGUUGGGUUAAGUCCCGCAACGAGCGCAACCCUUAUCCUUUGUUGCCAGCGRUUAGGYCGGGAACUCAAAGGAGACUGCCAGUGAUAAACUGGAGGAAGGUGGGGAUGACGUCAAGUCAUCAUGGCCCUUACGACCAGGGCUACACACGUGCUACAAUGGCGCAUACAAAGAGAAGCGACCUCGCGAGAGCAAGCGGACCUCAUAAAGUGCGUCGUAGUCCGGAUUGGAGUCUGCAACUCGACUCCAUGAAGUCGGAAUCGCUAGUAAUCGUGGAUCAGAAUGCCACGGUGAAUACGUUCCCGGGCCUUGUACACACCGCCCGUCACACCAUGGGAGUGGGUUGCAAAAGAAGUAGGUAGCUUAACCUUCGGGAGGGCGCUUACCACUUUGUGAUUCAUGACUGGGGUGAAGUCGUAACAAGGUAACCGUAGGGGAACCUGCGGUUGGAUCACCUCCUUA